Molecule: non-coding RNA, 141 nt
Organism: Otolemur garnettii (small-eared galago)
Lineage: Eukaryota; Metazoa; Chordata; Mammalia; Primates; Galagidae
Source: Rfam
ACCUUUGCACAGUGUCAGUAUCAUUGCUAAUGAGGUUUAUCCAAGAUGCGAUCAUUGCUAAUUGAAAACUUUCCCCAAUAUCCUGCUAUGAUGACUUUCAAUAUAGCUGGCAAUGGCAAUUUCUGAUGGUCUCUACAGACA